Pelobates cultripes (western spadefoot toad) is the source of this 255-nucleotide non-coding RNA. The record is from the annotation of a GenBank genome assembly. Lineage: Eukaryota; Metazoa; Chordata; Amphibia; Anura; Pelobatidae.
CUCUCAAAGACUGUUCAUCAUUCCUAACGGUCCCAGAAGAAGGUUUCAAGCUUCUAAAGUAGCCAUCAGCAGGUGGAUAGUAGCAGCCAUCAUACAAGCUUACAAGGCAUCAAAUUUGAAAAUCCCAGAAGGACUCAAGGCUCAUUCUACAAGGUCCCUUUCCUCUUCUUGGGCAGCAGCAGCUAAAGUUUCACCAGAACUUAUUUGCAAAGCGGCCACUUGGUCCUCCACAAACACUUUCAUAAGACAUUACCA